RNAcentral lists this ribosomal RNA (245 nucleotides) under Streptomyces sp. SID7982. Its description in RNAcentral is "partial 23S ribosomal RNA". The record is from RNAcentral. Lineage: Bacteria; Bacillati; Actinomycetota; Actinomycetes; Kitasatosporales; Streptomycetaceae.
GUAAGUCGGGACCUAAGGCGAGGCCGACAGGCGUAGUCGAUGGACAACCGGUUGAUAUUCCGGUACCCGCUUUGAAACGCCCAGUACUGAAUCAGGCGAUGCUAAGUCCGUGAAGCCGGCCCGAUCUCUUCGGAGUUGAGGGUAGUGGUGGAGCCGAUGAACCAGACUUGUAGUAGGUAAGCGAUGGGGUGACGCAGGAAGGUAGUCCAGCCCGGGCGGUGGUUGUCCCGGGGUAAGGGUGUAGG